GAUGAACGCUGGCGGCGUGCCUAAUACAUGCAAGUCGAGCGAACAGAUGAGGAGCUUGCUCCUCUGACGUUAGCGGCGGACGGGUGAGUAACACGUGGAUAACCUACCUAUAAGACUGGGAUAACUUCGGGAAACCGGAGCUAAUACCGGAUAAUAUAUUGAACCGCAUGGUUCAAUAGUGAAAGACGGUUUUGCUGUCACUUAUAGAUGGAUCCGCGCCGCAUUAGCUAGUUGGUAAGGUAACGGCUUACCAAGGCAACGAUGCGUAGCCGACCUGAGAGGGUGAUCGGCCACACGGGAACUGAGACACGGUCCAGACUCCUACGGGAGGCAGCAGUAGGGAAUCUUCCGCAAAGGGCGAAAGCCUGACGGAGCAACGCCGCGUGAGUGAUGAAGGUCUUCGGAUCGUAAAACUCUGUUAUUAGGGAAGAACAAAUGUGUAAGUAACUAUGCACGUCUUGACGGUACCUAAUCAGAAAGCCACGGCUAACUACGUG
RNAcentral lists this ribosomal RNA (497 nucleotides) under uncultured bacterium. RNAcentral's name for it is "partial 16S ribosomal RNA". It matches the Rfam family "Bacterial small subunit ribosomal RNA", at positions 28 to 507 of the family's 1533-position model. The record is from RNAcentral.